GGCGAACGCUGGCGGCGUGCUUAACACAUGCAAGUCGAACGGUGAAGCGCCUUCCUUUUUGGUGGGUGUGGAUGAGUGGCGAACGGGUGAGUAACACGUGAGUAACCUGCCCCCUUCUUCUGGAUAACCGCAUGAAAGUGUGGCUAAUACGGGAUAUUCUGGGUCUGUCGCAUGAUGGGUCUGGGAAAGAUAUUGUUUCGGUGGGGGAUGGGCUCGCGGCCUAUCAGCUUGUUGGUGGGGUGAUGGCCUACCACGGCGGUGACGGGUAGCCGGCCUGAGAGGGUGGCCGGUCACACUGGGACUGAGACACGGCCCAGACUCCUACGGGAGGCAGCAGUGGGGAAUAUUGCACAAUGGGCGCAAGCCUGAUGCAGCGACGCCGCGUGAGGGAUGGAGGCCUUCGGGUUGUGAACCUCUUUCGCCAGUGAAGCAGGCCUGCCUCGUUUGUGGGUGGGUUGACGGUAGCUGGAUAAGAAGCGCCGGCUAACUACGUG
Molecule: ribosomal RNA, 494 nt
Filed under: uncultured bacterium
Lineage: Bacteria
Description: partial 16S ribosomal RNA
Rfam family: Bacterial small subunit ribosomal RNA
Source: RNAcentral